AGUUUGCUUACAAACUGGAGAUGGCGACCGGCGCACGGGUGAGUAACACGUAUCCAACCUGCCGAUAACUCGGGGAUAGCCUUUCGAAAGAAAGAUUAAUACCCGAUGGUAUAAUCAGACCGCAUGGUCUUGUUAUUAAAGAAUUUCGGUUAUCGAUGGGGAUGCGUUCCAUUAGGCAGUUGGUGAGGUAACGGCUCACCAAACCUUCGAUGGAUAGGGGUUCUGAGAGGAAGGUCCCCCACAUUGGAACUGAGACACGGUCCAAACUCCUACGGGAGGCAGCAGUGAGGAAUAUUGGUCAAUGGGCGCAGGCCUGAACCAGCCAAGUAGCGUGAAGGGUGACUGCCCUAUGGGUUGUAAACUUCUUUUAUAUGGGAAUAAAGUUUUCCACGUGUGGAAUUUUGUAUGUACCAUAUGAAUAAGGAUCGGCUAACUCCGUGCCAGCAGCCGCGGUAAUACGGAGGAUCCGAGCGUUAUCCGGAUUUAUUGGGUUUAAAGGGAGCGUAGGUGGACAGUUAAGUCAGUUGUGAAAGUUUGCGGCUCAACCGUAAAAUUGCAGUUGAUACUGGCUGUCUUGAGUACAGUAGAGGUGGGCGGAAUUCGUGGUGUAGCGGUGAAAUGCUUAGAUAUCACGAAGAACUCCGAUUGCGAAGGCAGCUCA
RNAcentral lists this ribosomal RNA (661 nucleotides) under uncultured Bacteroidales bacterium. Its description in RNAcentral is "bacterial SSU rRNA". It matches the Rfam family "Bacterial small subunit ribosomal RNA", at positions 73 to 728 of the family's 1533-position model. The record is from RNAcentral. Lineage: Bacteria; Pseudomonadati; Bacteroidota; Bacteroidia; Bacteroidales.